Molecule: unclassified non-coding RNA, 218 nt
Filed under: uncultured Actinomycetes bacterium
Lineage: Bacteria; Bacillati; Actinomycetota; Actinomycetes
Description: uncultured actinobacterium contains 16S-23S intergenic spacer region
Source: RNAcentral
UCCGAGUUGACCCCGGCAGUCUCCUGCGAGUCCCCGCCAUUACGCGCUGGCAACACAGGACAAGGGUUGCGCUCGUUGCGGGACUUAACCCAACAUCUCACGACACGAGCUGACGACAGCCAUGCACCACCUGUAUACCGACAAAAGGGGCUCUAUCUCUAGAGCUUUCCGGCAUAUGUCAAACCCAGGUAAGGUGGGGAUGACGUGUCGUUACCUUA